Rattus norvegicus (Norway rat) is the source of this 3989-nucleotide non-coding RNA. Lineage: Eukaryota; Metazoa; Chordata; Mammalia; Rodentia; Muridae. The record is from RefSeq and is a predicted model, not a curated record.
UUUUGUUUCCAAGACGUCUUCUCUCACUUGUGACCUUGAGGUCUGCAUGCACAAUGGGCAGCCAUGUCAUGGUCUCUCUAUGGAAUCACUACUUGGUCCUCUGCUUUACCAUGCCCGUUCCUUUCCCUCCCAGGAAUGCUGUGUGUGUUGUGUAGCAGUUCUGAGAACAACACUAGCUUCUAUCUGAGCUAAAGAAUGUGUCUAUCUCAGGAAAUAGUAUUUCUUUUUUUUUUUAUCUUUAUUAACUUGGGUAUUUCUUAUUUACAUUUUGAUUGUUAUUCCCUUUCCUGGUUUCCAGGCCAACAUCCCCCAACCCCUCCUCCUCCCCUUCUCUAUGGGUGUUCUCCUCCCCAUCCUCCCUCAUGCCAUUACCGCCCUCCCCCCAACAAUCACAUUCACUGGGGGUUCAGUCUUGGCAGGACCAAGGGCUUCCCCUUCCACUGGUGCUCUUACUAGGCUAUUCAUUAGUACCUAUGAGGUCAGAGUCCAGGGUCAGUCCAUGCAUAGUCUUUAGGUAGUGGCUUAGUCCCUGGAAGUUCUGGUUGCUUGGUAUUGUUGUACAUUUGGGGUCUCGAGCCCCUUUAAGCUCUUCCAGUCCUUUCUCUGAUUCCUUCAACGGGGGUCCCGUUCUCAGUUCAAUGGUUUAAUGAUGGCAUUCGCCUAUGUAUUUGCUGUAUUCUGGCUGUGUCUCUCAGGAGAGAUCUACAUCUGGCUCCUGUCGGCCUGCACUUCUUUGCUUCAUCCAUCUUAUCUAAUUGGGCCACAUGUGGGUCAGGCUCUGAAUGGGUGUUCCUUCUGCCUCUGUUCUAAACUUUGCCUCCCUAUUCCCUCCCAAGGGUAUUAGGAAAGAGUAUUUCUACUCCUUAAAGCCAUUUCUACCCAGAGGCUCCAUGUCCCCAUCUAAUCCUCACCCUCAGCUCCAAUAGCACUUCCUGUGCAAGUCAUCUCUUCCUUUGCCCCAGGCUAGGUCAGGCUCUCCCUCCUCAUUUCACUCCCAGACUAUCUUCAAAUUCUAUAGCUAUACAAGUUUCCCUUAGGACAAAUAUCAUCUUGAGCUCAUGAUCACAUAUGUACAAGAUAUUAAAAUGAGACACCUGUCCAUUUUGUCUGUGGAUCCAGACUAGACAUGCAAUACAAUGUCUUGUCACAUAUUAAAGAAAAGGACUAGGUGAAUUAACUGUGUCAAUGCUAUUGAUUUUCUUCUGUUGCCUGUAGAAGAGGCUGUGGAGGCUGGGAUUUCAGAGGAGUCGGUAUUAGCCCUCUACUCUACCUCUUCCUUUUCACCCCAGGGACAGGGUUCUGGUUUUGAUAUGUAACCUGUAGUCUCCUAUGCUUGAACACCGGAUUCCCAGCUAGUCCUGAUGCUUGGAAAUGUGAUGGAACCUUUAGGAGGUGGAGCCUUGCUGGACUUUGUCACUGGGUGUGGCCUUGUGGGUUUAUAGCCUGGCUUUACUUGCUGUUUCCUGAGUAAGGAUAAAAUGUCAAAUUCCUGCUCCCCUUUUAACAUCUUCCCAGCCUGUUUGGUUUUGUCUUGGCCUGGAUGGAUUGAAUCCCUCUGGAGCUGUGAGCCAAAUAAGCCGUCUCCCCCUUGUGCUGUUUUUACGGGGUGUUCUAUCCCAGCAUAGGAAAAGACGCUAAUAUAGACAGGGGAUAGGGAGGAUGGCAACCCAAGGAUCACAGAUGUGCCCUGGCGCCCAAUGGACUCUGGGUUAGUUCAUCCCCCAUCAAGGGGAUGGGGCUGGGACUUGGUGAAUGGAGGCAAAGCCAAAUGGGGGCUUCUGAGGAGAAAGCAGACUCUCCACAGACCACUGGAUAGACCUUUGGGUUCUCUGAUAUCAUUCUCUUGGGAGGUACUUAUGAGUUGUCUACCAGCAGAUCCAUGCUGAAGGAGCCACUAUCAGACAGAGGACCUCCCCCACCCAAGGGAAAGAUACUCAGGACAAAGUGGAGAGUUCGCAGGGGCCAAAUGAGAAAGGAUUUGUCAGGGCUCAGGAUGUCGCUCAGGUAUAGAGUGCUUGUCUGCUAUGUACAGGCACCUGAGUUCAGUUCUCAGGACUAAAGGAUGAGGCUUUGCUUCGUGGAAAGGGCUAUGUUCACAAAACACAGAAGCUUGAGUAGAGGGAAAGAGACACCAAGGAAACAAGCAGAGACAGAGAUGGUCAUGCACUCGCAUGUGCAUGCACACACACAGACACAGACACAGACACACACACAAACACACACACACACACAAAGACACAGACAGACACACACAGACACAGACACACACAGACACAGACACAGACACACACAGACACACACACAGACACAGACACACACAGACACACACACACAAACACACACACAAAGACACAGGCAGACACACACAGACACAGACACACACACACACACAAACACACACACAAAGACACAGGCAGACACACACAGACACAGACACACACACACACACAAACACACACACAAAGACACAGGCAGACACACACAGACACAGACACACACAUACACAGACACACAGACACAGACACACACACACACACACAAACACACACAAACACACAGACAGACACACACAAAGACAGACACACAAACAGACAGCAGCACUCAGCUGGUACUGAGAAGUAGACUUAAUUUCUAAGGAAUAACCUGUGUGUAAAGAAUGUGACCCCUUUGUCUCUCAACACUGUUAUUCAGUUACAACUCAAGGCAGUCUUGAACAUCGGAGUGACAGCAUCAUUCUGGAGCGUAUUAAGACUCAGAUCCCUGGGAUUCACAGUGCUGGUGAUGUGAGAGCUGAGGUUCCUUCUGGCUGUGAGGAGUUCUGAUUCCUGGAAAGCCUGCUGCUUUGCCACAUUAACAAAGAGGAGGAGGAGGAGGAGGAGGUUUAUAGUCCUCGGAAAAAACAACUUCCAAAGCUGUGCUUUCUUUCCACACACAGCAAUGGUUAAAAAUAGAAGCCAAUUAGCCUGGGAGGGUUGGGUGCUGAGGAGCUGAGGUAUCUGAAGGAAAACCCACCCUCCUCUCUAUUUUUGGUGGAGGGAACAGCAUUUCCAACAGGUAGAAGCACAAACGGUAGCAACCUGUGGUGACUUUGUUUUUCAUAGGCUUGUGUUCCCAGGAUGCUUCUGCCAGGAGACUUGGGUGCUAGGUUUAAAAGCACAGGCAGUGCUGGCUAACAAGUAUGGGUGCAUUUGAAUUGUAACUUUUUAGAUGGCUUAGUUAGUGUUGCUCCCAUGAAGGGACACCAUGACCAUAGCAACUCAUAUAAAGAAAGCACGGUAGGGGCUUGCCUAUAGUUUUAGGGGGUUUGCCUAUGUUAUCAUGAUGGGAAGCACACACGCAUGGCACUGGAACAGGGGCUGAGUGCUUCAUAUCUUGAUCUGAGGCUUCUGAAGUUUUACCCCCAGUUACACAUCUUUUUCAAGGACAGAUCUACACCACUAAAGCCACGCCUCCUAAUCCCCAGCAGUCCACCGAGAACCAAGCAUUCAAAUACAUGAGCCUACCAGGGCGAUUUUUAUUCAAACCACCACAUUAGGCAAUGGAUGGUUUCUUGUUACAGCUUCAGUGAGGGGUGAAACAAAUUAGCUUGUGGUGGAGGCGAAACUUGAGCCUAGUGAGUAAAUAACUUUAUCCAUUCGUGUGUGUGUGUGUGUGUGUGUGUGUGUGUGUGUGUGUGUAGCAGCAAUUGGACUUCCAAACCUUUAUUCUCCUGGUUUAGGUAUGAUCUUAAAUCUAAUAAAAAUUUCUGAUCCCAAACCUCUUCCGCCAAAUAAGUUCUGUCAGUGUUUCUUGAAUUUUCCUGGCCAAGAAUCACCAGGAAGAGACUAUAAGCCCAGGUCCUCCACUAAAGACUGGUUCUGAAUGCCAGGCUUCCACUGCCGGAAACACUGUGUGAGCCAGAUAGAGACCAUUAAUUUUGAUAUCUUUCAUUUAAUCUAGUGUACUCAUGAUGAAUAUCCUUUCAAUAAAUGAUCAAUAUCACGCAACAA